CGUACAGUGAACGUGUUUCCUUGUAUUUAGAUAAUUUCUCUUUAUUUUCUAUCAUCUCUGUUUGAAUAUGAAUAUUUUUUAUUUUAAAUCCACCAUUCAUUCUAAACCGAUACCGUGCUGCAUCUUUCACCUAUGUCAAGACUUUUUUCUUUAUAUGUUCUUCGGGUUUCUUCUGCUGACGUGUCAUUCCUUGGGGUUCAGUUUAGAGACACUGCAUCCAAGAGUUUUCACUGCGCCCGAGGUAGGCUCUCAUUUCGGCCAUCAGGUUUGUCAUUUUGGACCAACACAAGGAGACAGGUGUGUGGUCCUCGUCUGAAGCAUAAAUGUGAGGGGUUUAACUAUCUUAAUGGUCAGUGUGUGGAGAUCAACCCACACUUCACUGCUGAUGACACACUGAAGCCAGCUUUCCAGGAGUGUCAUGAUAUUCCCCCUCUGGAUACAGUUAUUCUGUUUGAUGACUCUGGCAGUAUCACCUCAGAAAAUUUUGAAACAAUGAUCAGAUUCAUCAAGAACUUAAUUGCCAUGUUUUUGGAUACACGAGCACAGGUGGCAGUGGCCAAAUUCUCCACAAGAGUUUCAGCUGUCUUUCACUUUGAGAACUUUGCAGCGAAUCAAGACCCUGAACAACUAAUGAAAGAUGUGACCCAGGCACAGGGAGAUACAUACACACCUUCUGCAAUACGUUUUGUUAUAGAAGAGAUGUUUUCUGAGAAGGUGGGCAUGCGAAGCAACUCUCAGAAGUUAUUGUUGGUGAUCACUGAUGGAAAAUCAAAUGACCCCAAAGAGGAAUUUAAGAAUGUCAUCCUGAAAGCCAAUGAACAAGACAUCACACGAUUUGCCAUUGGGGUUGGUAAGGAGUACUCUCAUCCUGAGCUGGAGCUGAUUGCUUCAUCUCCUCACUUUGUUUUUGAGACAGAGAGUUUCAGUGCUCUCACCUUGAUACUAAACCAGCUAAGGGAAAAAAUAUUCUCUAUUGAAGGAACUGACACAGGGAACUUCAGCUCUUUUCAGAUGGAAUUAUCACAGGGGGGUUUCAGUGUGGCCCUUUCAGAGGGUUCAAGGAUGUUUGGAGCGGUUGGGGCAUACUCCUGGUCAGGAGGAAUAAUGCAGGAUCUCACUCAUCAAAUGCUCAAUUCAUCAUUCAUUAAUGCCACAAAUAUGGAGGAGGACAUUAAAGAUUCCUAUUUGGGUUACUCAGUUGCUGUGGCGCCAGUAAAUGGUCAUGUUGUGUACUUUGCGGGAGCACCAAGGCAUAGACACACAGGGCUGGUGCUGGGGUUUACACAGAACAAACGGAACCACAGUUGGACCAUCAGUCAUAGGAUAUACGGAUCACAGCUGGGCUCGUAUUUUGGGGCAGAAUUAUGUGUGGUUGGUGUUUCUGAGUUGUUAGCAGUCGGAGCUCCGUUAUAUCACGCUCAUGGAGUGGGAGGAGAGGUCCGGAUAUGCUCACUAAACACUACAAUCCAAGAACUCAACUGCUCAGCGAUUUUGCGUGGGGUGAAGGGGAAUGAGUUUGGCCGGUUUGGUACUUCUCUGGCAGCCAUACAGGACCUGAAUGGAGAUGGCUUUAAAGAGUUGGCGGUGGGGGCACCUCAAGAAGAGAAGGGCAAGGGUGCCAUUUACAUAUUUUUGGGACAACCAGGUGGUAUCAGAACAGAAUACAGUCAGAGAGUGAGUGGAGCAGCUGUGGGAAGUGGGCUGCAGUAUUUUGGAGUCGCUCUCCACUCUGCGGGAGAUCUGACCUCAGACGCUCUUACUGAUGUAGUGGUGGGCUCUAGAGGUGCAGUUACAGUACUAAGGUCUCAGCCUGUCAUGUGUUUGCCUAUAAAUGUUACUGUUGACCCACCAAUCAUCAGUCAGAAAUUCUUUCAUUGCUCUGCCCCGCUUGAUCGCAACACCCCUGUUGCCACAGUUACAGUCUGUGUCACUGUAAAAGAGAUUGUCAAGGGUGAUAUACAAGGUCCUUUUGGUUCUGUGGUGUCAAUGGCUCUGGAGCUGGAGCUAGACCCUUGGGCCAGAGCUCCUCGGCUGUUAUUUGGUCCCAAAUCAGCCUCAUUUCUCUGGACCCUCAAUGGCAACCUGAGCAGCAUUUCUCCUGUCUGCACUACUCUGUAUAUCAGCAUCCCGGAGUGUAUUUCAGACUACAGUGAAGUCCCUCUCUCUGGGAAAAUGAAAGUAACAACAGAAGUUAUUCCAGGAACAGAAGGUCUGAGGCCAGUGCUGAGCCCUGACUGCUGGCCUGUAUUUACAGAGAUGGUGGUUCUGGAAAAAGUGUGCGGGGAAGAUCAUGUGUGUACAUCGGAUUUAAACGUGUCUCUAUCUUUUAUGAGGGAUACUGUAGUGAGUGCUGCUGGUUACCCAGUGAAUCUCUCUGUGGAGGUAUCCAAUAACGGAGAAGAUUCCACAGAUACAGAGCUUUUCCUUCAUCAUCCCACCAUCCUCUCCUUCACCCGCAUCAAAACGUCUGGUGUACAGGUUUGGUGUGAGUCCAGUCACAUAGAGCUCUCAAAUGUUACAUGCACAGCAUGCAAGCUUGGGGCAACACUUUUCCGACAGAAAGCAAAGACCACGCUGAUGGCGUCAUUCAUGCUGUCUGCACCCUUUGCUGUGAAUGAACAUCUGGUUGUCAAUGCAUCGGUCACAAGUAAGAAUGAGAACAAUGACACAUCCCAAGAUAAUCGCGCAACUACAUCUGUGGUGGUUAAAAUUCCUGUUAAUGUUGUGGUAAAUGAUGGAGGGUCAACUCGGUUUGUUGAAUAUCCUAACUGUGCACAACUUGAGCAUGUGUAUACGGUGGAGAACAUUGGAAAAUUGUCUGUACCUGUGAAUGUUUCCUUUGUGUUUCCAGUGAAGAUGGCUUUAGGUUUCUCGUGGAGUGUAUCUCUUCCUGAAAUAAAUGGAACCAGUACGACUUGUGAAAACCGAGUUUCCUCCACAAAUGGCAAAAGCUCCUUUCUGACACAUCAGCAUUGCAGUGCUUCUACAUGUCAUCUCAUUGUUUGCUCCAUCCAGCCGUUUCCUGAUCAACUAAUCAGAUUCAGGUUUACUGGGAAUAUCAGUUCAGGCAACCAGGGAUCUGGUUUGCGGGUUAGGAUCAUGAGCUGGGUGUUUCUCUCAUUUGACACUGAGAGGUACAUCCAGUAUCCCUCUGAUGACUCUCACCAGCUCUCUAUUGUGACAGAGCUGGAGGUCACGUCUCAGGCUCUCACAGUGCUUACUGCCUCACUGUCUGUAAUUUUUGGACUCAUCGCUAUGACGAUCAUCUUUGUGCUGCUGUAUAAAAGGGGAUUUUUCAAAGCUGCUUCAACUGAUGACCAAGACAACCCAGCACUAUCAUCUGCUGGUGAAGCUGAUUUGACUACAGUCAGCAGUGACCAAACUACAGCAGGAACCCCUGUGUCCAUCCCAGUACCAGGCACAUCUGUGCAGUGUGCAAGUUUUGGUUUAUAAUACUAGAUGUAGUCAUAAAUAUGUUGUACUUUUACAGCAUUCGUUAAAAUUGGUUAAAUGUCAUACAAACACAUUUUUACAUUACAAAUUGUAUAAAUGAACAUUAGGUGUAAUGUAUUAUGAAUGUGUUACAUGAACUGCUCCAAGAUUUAUAAAUUGCAGAUCCAUGUGCAGCUUUUAUUGAAACCAGUAAAUCCAAAAGAUAAAUAAUUCCAGAAGGCAAGGCAAAAGAAUAAUCCACAAAACAGGCAAGAUAUCCAAAAAAAACCAAAAACAAAGUAUAACCAAGACCAAAAGAACUCAAAAUAUAGUGUAACAAAACAAAUCCUCCAUGACACUGAUAUAGACAAUAGGCAGGACCCAAAUGAUCCAAAUGGAAGCAGCUGCAAACAGUCAUUUCACAUGAGACAUAAGCUGCAUCCCAAUUCAAAGACUGCAUCCUUCGGAUCCUUCGAAGGUUCGUAUAGGACGCUCUGAGUCUAGCCCUCGCAGAAUUUCCUAGUUGUGCCACCAGGUGUCCCCGAUUGCCGCUCCUGUCGCGUAGCAACUGUGCUAGAAUAAAGCUGCAAUCCAAACACGGUAUUCAUUAAUUAAACAGAAAACUAUGCAGCCAGAAAUGUUAAUUGUACUCUUCAUUUUUUUUUUUACCUUACUGGAAGAAACAGUAGGAAUGUUUCACCCCCGGCAGCUUCGGGUGAUGUAUCUCAGGCUUAGCAAAGGUCAUUGCUCAAGUUAGAAGCCAACGGGAAGAGCUACCAUCGGAAUAACGCGGAGACACAGCUGCUUUGCUUGACUCAGCCUCCCACCCACGCCAGGAAAAAUCACAUUUUUAAUUUGCUAAAGAGUCAUAUGUAGGCUAAUUUAAAAUUGAACCUGUAUGUCGUUUUUGUAGCAUUGAUGUAAUUCUUCUCUUUAUUUUUGCUUAAUUAUACAUUUAUGUAUUUUAUUUUUUCUUGCAAGCCCAUUUAUUCUCUGAUGUUUUGUUGUAGUUGCAUAUAUCUUUUUAUUUCUUAACAUCUAAUUAAAAAAAAGAAAGAAAAAAAAAACUUUUAAAAAUAAAAAUGUAGCCUAUGUUCCAACUAUUUGCAUGUCUAUUUUCUGUGGUUAGCCUAAAAGUAAAAUAAAAUGACAUUCAGAGAACUUAAAGCAAAAGUCCCCUAACGUCCCGAAUGGCCGCUGCACGUCCUAUGAACGGCCGGAGGACGUCUUCGCGAACGUCCGCUCGACAUCAAGGGGACCCUACACGCUGACGUCCAGGGGACGUUCGCAGAGGCCAUUUAGGGGACGUCCUGGGGACCUUUUUUUGUUAGCUGGGAUAAGUUCUGAAGUUGUAUAAUGAAUUCGCAUGAUGAUGGGGUGAGAUAAAUAAACACUGCCCAGUAUAUUAGAAUGAUUUCUGAAGGAUCAUGUGACACUGAAGACUGGAGUAAUGAUGCUGAAAAUUUAGUUCACAUGAAUAAAUUACAUUUUACAAUGCAUUCAUAUAGAAAAUAAUUGUUAUUGUAGUUCUAUUUCACAAUAUUACUGUUUUUACUGUAUGUUUAAUCAAAUGCAGGCUUAAGAUGUGAUCAGGAAAGUGUUUCUUUUACGUGAAAGAUAUAUUUAAUGUGUCAAUAAAUGUUUUGUUACUCUUU
Molecule: RNA transcript, 5087 nt
Organism: Onychostoma macrolepis
Lineage: Eukaryota; Metazoa; Chordata; Actinopteri; Cypriniformes; Cyprinidae
Gene name: integrin alpha-X-like
Exons: 30
Source: RefSeq, a predicted model, not a curated record